RNAcentral lists this ribosomal RNA (251 nucleotides) under uncultured bacterium. Its description in RNAcentral is "partial 16S ribosomal RNA". It matches the Rfam family "Bacterial small subunit ribosomal RNA", at positions 525 to 775 of the family's 1533-position model. The record is from RNAcentral.
ACGGAGGAUGCGAGCGUUAUCCGGAUUUAUUGGGUUUAAAGGGUGCGUAGGUGGACUUUUAAGUCAGCGGUAAAAUUUCUCGGCUUAACCGAGGUCAUGCCGUUGAUACUGUAUAGCUGGAAUACGGAUGCUGUGGGAGGAAUGUGUAGUGUAGCGGUGAAAUGCAUAGAUAUUACACAGAACACCGAUUGCGAAGGCAUCUCACAAAGCCGUUAUUGACGCUGAUGCACGAAAGCGUGGGGAUCAAACAG